UCCUCUCUCUCCCCCGUGCAGCGAACCCUAGCGCUCCCCGAUCCAGAUCCCUCCCCUCCCCUCCCCUCACCGCCAUCCACCGCUGCUCGCCGCCCUCCACCGCCCCACCACUCCUCUCUCUCCCCGUGCAGCGAACCCUAGCAUUCCCUCUCUCUCUCCCACCGGCGGCGCAGGUUGGUCGGCACUCGGCAGGUAGCGGUCGGCGGCGUCGGAAGCGAGAUGAGAGUCGGCGUCGGCGUCGGCGGGAGCGAGGGCGCGGUGUUCUACACAGACAAGUCCACCCGAUCCAGGCGGGCAACAUCGACGGCACGGACGUCGCCCCCCACGACAACGCCGUCCUCCGCGCCCUCCUUUGCUCCACCUCCGGCCUCUGUGUGUCCUCUCCGGCCCUCUCCCCCUCCUAUCCACUCCUUUCCCCCCGUUCUGCUCUCCACCCGUUCGCGCAUCAACGCUGCGCCUAACUCACUAUGUAUCUGUUUCCCCUUCUUUCUCCAAAUGAUCCCUUCGGGGACCCCAAGGCCGCUGGCGACCCCUACGAGAAAGUGAAGAGCGUGCGGCUGGUGCGGGAUAUUGAUGCUGGCCUUCAUUCUUUAAAAGUCGGGUUUACAGGAGCUCCCCCUCCUCAACCAUGCCAAGAUGGCAGCGGCGCGAUGCCGGUCGAGAACGUUGGCGUGUAGUCGCCUGAGGUGUCGCCGGGGCGCUAUGUGCGGCGGGUCGACAAGGUGCCACCCGAUGAUGACGGUGCGACGACGCCCUUGAGGCCGACGGCCGGGGCACCGGGGACGACGACCCCUUCGACACCCCCGCCAAGCGCAUGCCCGUCGAGAGGCUAUGGCGGUGGAGGGUUGCUAUGACGCGGACAAGCUGCUGCUGCAGGUGGACGACUCCUCAUGGAUGCUCAACCUAUCUCUCCUACCCCCACACAUGGUUUCUCCUGCUGCUGCUGCUGCAUGUCUUCAUCGACUUAGUUCUUCCACAGGAAGAGAUAUAAAUCCUAUACUGUUCACUGUGUAAUCUGCAGAUUACUUCUUCCAUUAAUCAUCUAGUGCUCCUAUUAGUGAGAUUCAUCUAGUAUUUUUUUGCAAAGCAUGCAAUGGUUUGGAGUACUUGAUCAUGACCUCAUGAAACCUACAUGUCGUUAGCAUGUAUAUAUAUUAAAUGCAUUAAAUCUGGUUAAAUGCAUUCUACUACAACAACCAGAAGCAAUCCAUUUUAUUAAAUGCAUUCUGGUUAGGAUUUGGUCAUAGCAUCACCUUGCUGUUCUGUUUUAAAUCUGGUUGCAAGUUAUUAUUUUUCCAGAACCAACAUCUUACAUUUCGGGCAUUGGAAUUUAGGAUUUUUUGUAUAAUUUUAGUUCUGGAUGUGUCCAAUGCAAACAUUACUGUGAGCUGACAAAUUGAUUCUAAAAUGUCAUAUUAACUUUAUUUCAGAUGGUGAUUUCUAGAUUUAGUACCAAUUUAUUGUUGCUCUGGCCUAUGCAUUGUACCUUGCUCUGUACCAACUUAUUGCAUUAUUUGUUAUUUACUGUUAAAUAUGCUGUUAGAUUAUUUUUAUUUUGUUGCUAACCAUUUUGUUGUAUAACAAUGAGAUGCUAGCCUUUCAUGUUUCUUCACAAGCAUCAGGACAAAGAAGAAGAAGUAUAGUUCAAUGGAUCUAGUUCUCGGAGUAAUGAAGCCCAUGUGAUGCUUAAUUACUAUACACUUGUAGAGCUUUUUAUCUGAUUGUAAACUUAAUGCCGAUCACAUUUAUAUGUGUUAUAUUAUGUAAAAGAUUGCUUUUGCUGUUAUUUGAAGUAUUAUGUCUAUU
Long non-coding RNA from Hordeum vulgare subsp. vulgare (domesticated barley), 1806 nucleotides. RefSeq lists it as uncharacterized. The transcript is spliced from 4 exons. NCBI's taxonomy places the organism in Eukaryota, Viridiplantae, Streptophyta, Magnoliopsida, Poales, Poaceae. The record is from RefSeq and is a predicted model, not a curated record.